Molecule: long non-coding RNA, 486 nt
Organism: Clarias gariepinus (North African catfish)
Lineage: Eukaryota; Metazoa; Chordata; Actinopteri; Siluriformes; Clariidae
Exons: 5
Source: RefSeq, a predicted model, not a curated record
AGAUGGAGGAAGUGAUACCAUCAUGUUGGGUUAAGAAUGGUGGUGUAUUGUGGCCUACACAAGGAGCUGCGAGAGCGUUGAAGGCCUGCAAAGAACCAGAAGAAUCAUGGACAAAAUUCCCAUUAAUAAAAAUGAAGAUUCAGUCAGAUGACAAGAAUGAAUGCGAGAAGUAUGAUUUUACUACAACUGCUGAAUUAAGUGGCUCAGAAGAAGAGUUACCGAUGAAGAGGAGGCCAAAAAAAAAAAAUUUAUCCCGACUACCAAAUUGAUGAACCAUCUGUCAAUGAAGACAGUAAAAAAGAAUCUUCUCCAGGUCUUAUGAUAAAGAGUACAGGUGAAAAGGCUACCAAGAAGAUUCGAACAUUUAUUCCUUGUGAAGAUGACUUUGUUCUUCCAACUCCUCCCAAAAUGAACAAUGCACAGUCUGGUAAAUAUGGCACAACUACCAACACAAUGAAAAGACGCAUCCCGCAUUCUGCAAAUACA